GAGAGUUUGAUCCUGGCUCAGGAUGAACGCUAGCUACAGGCUUAACACAUGCAAGUCGAGGGGCAGCAUGGUCUUAGCUUGCUAAGGCCGAUGGCGACCGGCGCACGGGUGAGUAACACGUAUCCAACCUGCCGUCUACUCUUGGACAGCCUUCUGAAAGGAAGAUUAAUACAAGAUGGCAUCAUGAGUCCGCAUGUUCACAUGAUUAAAGGUAUUCCGGUAGACGAUGGGGAUGCGUUCCAUUAGAUAGUAGGCGGGGUAACGGCCCACCUAGUCUUCGAUGGAUAGGGGUUCUGAGAGGAAGGUCCCCCACAUUGGAACUGAGACACGGUCCAAACUCCUACGGGAGGCAGCAGUGAGGAAUAUUGGUCAAUGGGCGAGAGCCUGAACCAGCCAAGUAGCGUGAAGGAUGACUGCCCUAUGGGUUGUAAACUUCUUUUAUAAAGGAAUAAAGUCGGGUAUGGAUACCCGUUUGCAUGUACUUUAUGAAUAAGGAUCGGCUAACUCCGUGCCAGCAGCCGCGGUAAUACGGAGGAUCCGAGCGUUAUCCGGAUUUAUUGGGUUUAAAGGGAGCGUAGAUGGAUGUUUAAGUCAGUUGUGAAAGUUUGCGGCUCAACCGUAAAAUUGCAGUUGAUACUGGAUAUCUUGAGUGCAGUUGAGGCAGGCGGAAUUCGUGGUGUAGCGGUGAAAUGCUUAGAUAUCACGAAGAACUCCGAUUGCGAAGGCAGCCUGCUAAGCUGCAACUGACAUUGAGGCUCGAAAGUGUGGGUAUCAAACAGGAUUAGAUACCCUGGUAGUCCACACGGUAAACGAUGAAUACUCGCUGUUUGCGAUAUACUGCAAGCGGCCAAGCGAAAGCGUUAAGUAUUCCACCUGGGGAGUACGCCGGCAACGGUGAAACUCAAAGGAAUUGACGGGGGCCCGCACAAGCGGAGGAACAUGUGGUUUAAUUCGAUGAUACGCGAGGAACCUUACCCGGGCUUAAAUUGCAGAUGAAUUACGGUGAAAGCCGUAAGCCGCAAGGCAUCUGUGAAGGUGCUGCAUGGUUGUCGUCAGCUCGUGCCGUGAGGUGUCGGCUUAAGUGCCAUAACGAGCGCAACCCUUGUUGUCAGUUACUAACAGGUUCUGCUGAGGACUCUGACAAGACUGCCAUCGUAAGAUGUGAGGAAGGUGGGGAUGACGUCAAAUCAGCACGGCCCUUACGUCCGGGGCUACACACGUGUUACAAUGGGGGGUACAGAGGGCCGCUACCACGCGAGUGGAUGCCAAUCCCAAAAACCUCUCUCAGUUCGGACUGGAGUCUGCAACCCGACUCCACGAAGCUGGAUUCGCUAGUAAUCGCGCAUCAGCCACGGCGCGGUGAAUACGUUCCCGGGCCUUGUACACACCGCCCGUCAAGCCAUGGGAGCCGGGGGUACCUGAAGUGCGUAACCGCGAGGAGCGCCCUAGGGUAAAACUGGUGACUGGGGCUAAGUCGUAACAAGGUAGCCG
This 1491-nucleotide ribosomal RNA is filed under the name uncultured bacterium. Its description in RNAcentral is "bacterial SSU rRNA". It matches the Rfam family "Bacterial small subunit ribosomal RNA". The record is from RNAcentral.